AGGACGAACGCUGGCGGCGUGCUUAACACAUGCAAGUCGAGCGAGAGCCAGUUGAGGGGUAACCCUCGACUGGGGACAGCGGCGAACGGGUGCGUAACACGUGGGCAACCUGCCCCUGACACUGGGAUAACCCCGGGAAACCGGAGCUAAUACCGGAUACUCUCGGCCGAUCACAUGGCUGGCCGAGGAAAGGUCCGCCGGUCAGGGAUGGGCCCGCGGCCUAUCAGCUUGUUGGUGGGGUAACGGCCUACCAAGGCGACGACGGGUAGCUGGUCUGAGAGGACGACCAGCCACACUGGAACUGAGAUACGGUCCAGACUCCUACGGGAGGCAGCAGUGGGGAAUAUUGCACAAUGGGCGAAAGCCUGAUGCAGCGACGCCGCGUGAGGGAUGAAGGCCUUCGGGUCGUAAACCUCUUUCGGCAGGGACGAAGCGAUCAGUGACGGUACCUGCAGAAGAAGCCCGGACUAACUACGUGCCAGCAGCCGC
This 489-nucleotide ribosomal RNA is filed under the name uncultured bacterium. Its description in RNAcentral is "SSU rRNA". It matches the Rfam family "Bacterial small subunit ribosomal RNA", at positions 26 to 518 of the family's 1533-position model. The record is from RNAcentral.